AAUUUUGGACAAUGGGGGCAACCCUGAUCUAGCCAUCCCGCGUGUGCGAUGAAGGCCUUCGGGUAGUAAAGCACUUUUGUCAGGUAAGAAAUGGCUCUGGCUAAUACCUUGCUCUGCUGACGGUACCAGCAGAUUAAGCACCGGCUAACUACGUGCCAGCAGCCGCGGUAAUACGUAGGGUGCAAGCGUUAAUCGGAAUUACUGGGCGUAAAGGGUGCGUCGGCGGUUUGGCAAGAAAGGUGUGAAAUCCCAGAGCUUAACUUUGGAACUGCACUUUUAACUGCCAGGCUAGAGUAUGUCAGAGGGGGGUAGAAUUCCGCGUGUAGCAGUGAAAUGCGUAGAGAUGCGGAGGAAUACCGAUGGCGAAGGCAGCCCCCUGGGAUAAUACUGACGCUCAGGCACGAAAGCGUGGGGAGCAAAC
This 421-nucleotide ribosomal RNA is filed under the name uncultured bacterium. RNAcentral describes it as "partial 16S ribosomal RNA". It matches the Rfam family "Bacterial small subunit ribosomal RNA", at positions 360 to 773 of the family's 1533-position model. The record is from RNAcentral.